GCCCCUGUGGAUCAACGGUAGAUCGUCCUCUCUCAUUUAUCCUGUCUGCUCAGAUUUCUGAGGAAGCUGUGGGUUCGAAUCCCACCGGGGGCA
Mycena latifolia is the source of this 93-nucleotide non-coding RNA. The record is from the annotation of a GenBank genome assembly. NCBI's taxonomy places the organism in Eukaryota, Fungi, Basidiomycota, Agaricomycetes, Agaricales, Mycenaceae.